CGAAUGACGUCAUGGCGAUCGACAUUUGAAUUUACGGGAAAGUGAAAUAUAACUACAUAUUAAAGUUAUGUUCGACGUUUUCAUAUUAUCAAAACAUGAGAUAUAAAAAGUGAUAGAGAAAAUAUUAUUCCACGAAUAUUUCAUAGCAGUCAGAUUCAUUAUAAUAAAUCGAUAAAUGCCAAAUUUGGAUCGCGUGUAGUGUACAGUUAUUCUUAUAUACAUUAAGACAGGCUUUAGAGCCUGAAAUGUAUCUGUUUUAAAUUUCAUAAAAUGAAUAAUGAUGAAAUUUCACAAAAUAAAGAGACAGAUACUUCCUUACAAUUCUUACCCAGUACUUCAAUUGAACCAAGUAUAAAUGAAAAAAAUGAGAAUGAAACCUCCAAAGACAUUACUUAUAAUGAAAGUUUUGAAACAGCUUGUUCUAAAAGCUUUUCUGAAUUUGGUACAGAAAGAAAAGAAAAAACAAAUGGAAAUUAAUGAAAUAAAUAAACUACAACAAUUAAAAUUAGAAAAAGAGAAGAAUGAAGAAGCCUACAAAAACUGGAAAAGAAAGAUCUCUUUAAAACCAAAAUCUCAGAAUUAUAUAGGAUAUGGUUAUGUUGGGGGAAUUUUAAUAAAUAGUCCCAGAGGAAAUAGUUACAUGGAUUAAGGUAUGGACUGUUUUCAUCAUGAAAAGACAUCUGAUGUUCUAUGGGGAUGAGCUCUAUGCUGCAUGAACCAAUACCAACAAAUCAUGUUGUGACAUUGAGCUUCAGAUCAAAGUUUUGUUCCACCAAUGCAUGUUAUUUCUGUUCAGUGACUAUUAUACAAAUAUUGUUAUAAAAGUUCUACAAAUAUUGGACCAAUGAUUUGCUUUGAUGAAAUGGCACACCACACUGUGAUCUUUUAUGGAUGCAAGGGUGAGAUGACAUUGAGAUGUGGAUUUUCCAUAACCCAGUGGUGCCAGUUCUGUUUAUUGAUGUAGUCAAUCAGUUGGAAGUGGACUUUGUUGCUAAACCACAUCUGGUGUUCACUCAUUGAUAUAGUUUCCACAUUAUCAAUCAUUAAAUUGGCAAACUCAUCACUGCUGUACAUUGUUUCUUUCUGAGAGUGACUAGAACAGCUGUAUCUUGUAUGGAUGUAGCCCCACUGCUGUUAAUUGUUUCAAGGAAGUUUUCAUAGCUUUAACUUUUGUAAUGCCUUUCUUGUGGAUGUGUAUAAGUUGUGCUUCAAAAAAUUUAUGUACUGUACUUGCUCUUUAUUUUCUUUUGACACAACAGUGGAUUUUUGGCCCAAUGCUUCAGUUGGGCAAAAAAUCCACUUUUUGCUUCCCAAACACUUCCAGUGGACUCAAAUCUGGCCAUCAACCUGGAACAAAUGGAAAUGAUGAUUCUUUUGUCAGGUACAUGCUUAGUGCAAAUUGCUAUGCCACUUUAACAUAUAACAACUUACCAUGCAAUAACUAUGUCACUUGGAGCAUUUUUUGUUCAAAGUUUUUGCACCAUGCACAUUGAACAAUGGUAUUUGGUUAUUUUCAUAAAAUUUUCUUUCUAUAAAUAAUUGUUCCUCCAGAGUCAGGGAUUCCGUCUUCAAAUUUAUUCAAAUGUGAAAACAUAACUCAUAUAUACACUUACAAGCACUACACAUAAAACCAAUAUCCAGCAGGAACUAAAAAAUUCUACAAAAGCAAAUGUUUUCACCUGUGUUAAAAAGUCAUUGUCAAGCUAAAAGACCUUUGGAGUUUGAAUGCAGCUGUUAAAAUAAAACACGUUGAAAAAAAGAAUUUCUAAGGAUUGAUGAUUGUCUUCCAUGUGCUAAAAGAUGAUGUAAGAGAGAGAGGGAAGGGAAGAGGAAGACUAAAUGUCAUAGAGUGACUUCCAUGCAGUGGGGAAGGAGGCUACCUCUUUAAGUUGGUAGCCACAUUUUUUCUCGUGACUUUGUAAAUUUAUAACUGUUCUAAAUAUUUUGGUAUUUUUGUUCUAUAUAUUUAAGCCAUUUCUUGUGGUAGGUGCAAUGUAGGAGGAACACUUGGUUGAAAUGCAUCUCAAUGUCAGGAUCACUGGCAUAGCUAAUGCUGUGGUAGCAAGUUUAAUGAUGGAAGUUUUAUGUUUUUUGAGGUGGGUGUUUAAUGGUCACCCUUUGGCACCCA
Molecule: unclassified non-coding RNA, 2128 nt
Filed under: Centruroides sculpturatus (bark scorpion)
Lineage: Eukaryota; Metazoa; Arthropoda; Arachnida; Scorpiones; Buthidae
Description: uncharacterized LOC111631119, transcript variant X1
Source: RNAcentral